UCUAUAGUAUCACAAAAUUGAUGAAAUUUGAAAUUUCAUCUAUCCUCAAUUCUGUGAUAAUUUAUAGUACUCGACAGGCGCUAAGUACUAUAAAAAAAAAUAGUCGCUUUAUGAUCAAUCUCGACGAAUCACGAGUUUUAUGCAUUUCAGUGGUUGUAAAUACCGUAGUCUAUUAUCGAUUAAACGAAUAUUUUGUCGUUUCUUUAAGAUGCCGUUUUACGCUGUAAUUUUCAGGACUUCGAAAGCCGGUGCAAUAGCCAAAAACUGGGAGGAGGCUCGUGGGUUGAGAGAUGCUACUCCUAAUUCUUAUGCCAAGAAAUUUGAUACAAAAAUAGAAGCUGAAAAAUACAUCAAAGAUUUCAAAUUUGUGUGUAUAGAAAAUACACAAAGCACUAAUCAUAGAUCAUCACUAGAUCAUUUCAAAGGUGCGAAAAGAAAAAGAUCCGAUAAUCCAUUAUAUCCAAUCAGCUCAGUGAAAGACCAUAUAAAAAAAAUAAAAAUAGCAUUCAGUGAUUUGCGAGUUGCUGUAUCAUCAUUUUCAGGAUUAUCGGCGACCUGUGAAGACCAAUUGAAGAUUUUAAACGAUGAAGUUAUUGGUAAACUUCAUGAAAUAUUGAAUGUGAAUGAAACUGAAUCCAUAGACAAUUUGUCGUUAGUUGCUACAACAAAUACACCGUUAAAUAAAAACCUGAUAUGUUCUUCAAAUAUUGAUGCUAUUGAUGGUACCGACUUACUCCCGUCUGAACUAGAAUCAGCAAAAAAAUCUUUUACAUUCAAUGAAGAAAAUCAAGUUGUUGUUUAUACGGAUGGUGCUUGUUCAAACAAUGGCUAUAAAGGAGCAUGUGCAGGGGCAGGAGUAUGGUUUGGAAAUGACCAUCCUCUGAAUUUAUCAAUAAGAGUACCUGGAACACAAACUAAUAACAAUGCAGAGAUAUUUUCUACUAUUAAAGCAAUUGAACGUGUUUAUUCUACUGGUCUCACUAGAAUAAGUAUACACACAGAUUCCGAUUUCGUCAUUAAAAGUGUAAAUGAAUGGAUGCCACGUUGGCUGUCUAAAGGAUGGAAAACCAGUGCAGGUGCUGAAGUAAAAAACAAAGAAAUGUUUAUGAUAUUAAAUAAAAGAAUCCAGUCCAUGGAUUCUGUUAGCUGGACAUACGUUCCUGGUCAUAAAGGGAUUAUCGGUAACGAAGAAGCCGAUAAGUUAGCCAGGAUAGGGGCUAAGAUGUAGGGGUAAAAUUUUAAAUUAAUCUCACUUUUGUUAUUAACCAGUUAAUUUUGUAUGUUUCUUAUUUCAAAUUAACGAUGAACAAAUGUGAAUAUUUAUAGUCUCAUAUCAAUUUUGUAUCCAUUUAUUCAAAAGCGAUAAUGUGAGACAUGCAAGAUUCAGUUUAUAUUUAAAGAUUGAAUUAUAGUGUCACAUAACUACAUAAAUCUAGAAAGCAUCAAUCUGCAUUCAAGUCCAAAAGUAUCUAUAUUUUCUAAUAUUUAGAUUUGGAAAAAUUUAAAUAAGCUUCAAUAAAAAUUAAAAGCUUAUUAGGUAUUAUAUAUAUUUUAUAUUCUUCUGCUAUGUAGAAUGUUGAUAUUUUCAGGUGUAGCUGCCAAUGUUAAUACACUAUUGUUUUGUUUUGAACAGAAUACAUUUAUGUCAUGAGGUUUGGAUAAAUUUAACAAUACUAUAGCAUCAUGAGUUGUAAAUUCUGAAUGAAGUGGUAAAAACUAAAAAUGUAUUGAUUUUAUAAUGGUGUGUUUUGUUAAUAUUUUUUUUUUUUGUCGGUCAUCACUUUUUACCUUUUGGGGUAGUAUAAAUGCUUCAAUUUUCUACUUUGUAGUAGACUAACAUUCUUGUUAGUACUUUAAUGAACAAAAAAUAAAAAUUCCUAGCAGAUUUGAAGUGUAAGGAAAAACCAAAAAACUAAAAAAAAUUUCACCGAAUGUUUAUAAUUUUAUAUUAGUAUUUUCUAGUUUUCUACACACUGCACACAUUUUAAAAAUAUUUUUUUUCGCUCAUCAAAAGUUUUUCUACUUUUAACAAACAAGUUUAUGGAAAAGGUAAUUAAAUUUUUAUGAGCGUUUGAAGUUGAAUAAUCAUCCAUAAGUUAACUAUUAUUUCUCAUGGAAUUCUUUUCUUGUAAUUCAAAAACUAUUAACUGUAGAUACUUGAAAUGAUCAGUUAUUUUUUAUAUGUACUUAAAAGGACAUCAUACCCCGCGGGUACCCCCAUAUAUUGUCUCCGUUUUACUAACUCAUAAUAUGAUUGUCAAAAUGUUCGUCCAGUCGUAAUAAUAUUUUUAUUAUAUGGGUAAGCAAGCUUAGUUACUUGUUGCGUGGACUUGAACUAAAUCUGGACAUUUGCAAUCAUUGUUCAAUGUUUAUAUUAUCAUGAGUAUACCGAUAAAAAUAUUAACCAAGUAAUCACAUCAUAUUUUUAUUUAUAUUAUAAAUAAAUUAUUAUCGCCAAUGAUCAGACAACACCCUUUUGGCCAUGAACUACUGUGUAGUAGUUUAUGCUUUUAGCUAAGGCUCUACAUAGAAUGGGUAUGCUAUGCACCAUUUUGUGUCACAUUUAUCAAUGAUAAAAUAAAGGGGGAGAAAUUCAAAUUCACAUAACAUUAUUAGUCGCAAAAUGGCGGCAUAGCAUACCUGUAUCUAUAGUGCCAUAUUUUGGCCUUUUGUCCUGUGUCAACUAUUUAUACACCUGCCGUGUAGUAUUGCGUAGUAGCUGGCUGUCGCAGGCGUUCUUGAACAGAGCAUACAUUACACAGCUUAUUACGAUUUAAAAUUUUA
This is an RNA transcript of Acyrthosiphon pisum (pea aphid), 2784 nucleotides long. It is a transcript of the gene named ribonuclease H1-like, with no coding region annotated. Lineage: Eukaryota; Metazoa; Arthropoda; Insecta; Hemiptera; Aphididae. The transcript has 9 exons. The record is from RefSeq and is marked predicted.